Molecule: long non-coding RNA, 320 nt
Filed under: Panax ginseng (ginseng)
Lineage: Eukaryota; Viridiplantae; Streptophyta; Magnoliopsida; Apiales; Araliaceae
Description: long non-coding RNA (PGIN_LNC010464)
Source: RNAcentral
UAUAGUCGGACUAAACAGCUAGGGUUCUAUUCAAACCGUUAGUUGUCCGAUAUCCCCAAACCCACGACAAGGAGAAUAAGGGCAAAUGGAUGCAGUAUUGCAGUGAUAAUAGAGGGAGUAAUACGACCCAGACAUCCAAUUUCAACAACAAAGUAAAUACUUUAUUGGAUUUUCGAGCAAUUCUUUCUCUUCCCGUGACCCUAAUCAUCCAAUAUGCAUUUUUUGAACCGUAUCAUACCCCAAAUCUUUGCUAAUUCACUGAAAACUACUUCAAAUCCAAAUAAUUUCCUUCGGAUUCAACGCCCCUUUUCGAAUCUNNN